This 585-nucleotide ribosomal RNA is filed under the name uncultured bacterium. Its description in RNAcentral is "partial 16S ribosomal RNA". It matches the Rfam family "Bacterial small subunit ribosomal RNA", at positions 355 to 1375 of the family's 1533-position model. The record is from RNAcentral.
UGGGGAAUUUUGGACAAUGGGCGAAAGCCUGAUCCAGCAAUGCCGCGUGUGUGAAGAAGGCCUUCGGGUUGUAAAGCACUUUUGUCCGGAAAGAAAUCCUUGGCUCUAAUACAGUCGGGGGAUGACGGUACCGGAAGAAUAAGCACCGGCUAACUACGUGCCAGCAGCCGCGGUAAUACGUAGGGUGCAAGCGUUAAUCGGAAUUACUGGGCGUAAAGCGUGCGCAGGCGGUUUGCUAAGACCGAUGUGAAAUCCCCGGGCUCAACCUGGGAACUGCAUUGGUGACUGGCAGGCUAGAGUAUGGCAGAGGGGGGUAGAAUUCCACGUGUAGCAGCGAAAUGCGUAGAGAUGUGGAGGAAUACCGAUGGCGAAGGCAGCCCCCUGGGCCAAUACUGACGCUCAUGCACGAAAGCGUGGGGAGCAAACAGGAUUAGAUACCCUGGUAGUCCACGCCCUAAACGAUGUCAACUAGUUGUUGGGGAUUCAUUUCCUUAGUAACGUAGCUAACGCGUGAAGUUGACCGCCUGGGGAGUACGGUCGCAAGAUUAAAACUCAAAUGAAUUGACGGGGUCAUAGCUGUUUCCU